Molecule: ribosomal RNA, 400 nt
Filed under: uncultured bacterium
Lineage: Bacteria
Description: bacterial SSU rRNA
Rfam family: Bacterial small subunit ribosomal RNA
Source: RNAcentral
UGGGGAAUAUUGCACAAUGGGGGAAACCCUGAUGCAGCCAUGCCGCGUGUGUGAAGAAGGCCUUCGGGUUGUAAAGCACUUUCAGCGAGGAGGAAAGGUCAGUAGCUAAUAUCUGCUGGCUGUGACGUUACUCGCAGAAGAAGCACCGGCUAACUCCGUGCCAGCAGCCGCGGUAAUACGGAGGGUGCAAGCGUUAAUCGGAAUUACUGGGCGUAAAGCGCACGCAGGCGGUUGGAUAAGUUAGAUGUGAAAGCCCCGGGCUCAACCUGGGAAUUGCAUUUAAAACUGUCCAGCUAGAGUCUUGUAGAGGGGGGUAGAAUUCCAGGUGUAGCGGUGAAAUGCGUAGAGAUCUGGAGGAAUACCGGUGGCGAAGGCGGCCCCCUGGACAAAGACUGACGCU